RNAcentral lists this long non-coding RNA (1519 nucleotides) under Salvator merianae (Argentine black and white tegu). Its description in RNAcentral is "lncRNA (ENSSMRG00000001957.1)". Lineage: Eukaryota; Metazoa; Chordata; Lepidosauria; Squamata; Teiidae. The record is from RNAcentral.
AAGCGCGGGAUCUUCCUCGGCAGGGAUCGUGUUCCGCGCUGUCUUCACUUGCCCCUAGGGGUUGGGGGCGCACUGCUUUUCCUCCCGCUGAGUCCGAGGGGCGCCGGCUGUUCCUGUUGGAGGGGCCUCCCUCGUCGGGAGGGCGGGCAGGCCGGCGGCGUUCGGGUCACAAGGGCUGUCGCCACGGCAGGCCCACGGGCGGCUCCUGGCAACGGCUCCUGGGCGGCCGAGGCCGAGCAACGUGAGAGCGGCCUGGCCCACGAGAGGGGGCGACGACGAGCCGCCGGCCGCGCCCGCCCAGGUACGGCGGGCAGUGCCCCCCCCCGCGCGCUUGGGGUCCCGAGGCCUGUCAGUGUCAGACGCGGGCAGGUCCUGCAGGCCCGCCGGCGAGGGAACGAGGAGCCCCCGAGGAAGGGCGGCCGGGGGGUUGAAGCGCUUGGGCUCACGCAGGAGCAGGAGGGUGUGGACAGAUGUGCAGCCUGUGGCCCUUUCCCCUCCUACAACUGUAGCCGAGUCUAGAAGCCAAAAGAAAAAGGCAGGUAAAGCGGAUGAGUAGGGCUGGGGGGAGCAGGUGCAAGCAGUUUGGUCCAGGAUCAGGUGGGUGCCCUGAAUUAACUCCUCUCUGGCACAGAAAUGAGCUGCAAAAGGCUGGCCUGUUCCUGAGCCAUUUUGGCCCACAGCAGACCCAUCUGAGGCACCGCGGCCAAGCUGAGUCCUGAAUCGGACAAAGAAGCAAUUCAUAAGGGCCCAAACCUCCUCAUGCUCUCCAGCUACUUCACAAAGCAUUAUCUCCGUUUAGCUGUGGUGUUUUUGUCACCAAGAAAAACAAUAAGCCCUUAUCCAGCUCUGUGGUGGCCUUGCAGCUAAAAAUAUUCUGUUUUUAGGCCUCCCUUCACUUGGUAGACAGAAACACUAGUUUUCUCACAAGAUAACGUUGGUGUUGGGCAGAAAUAUGCUAGCAAAAACAAACGAAUGUCUUGAAAAAGCUCCCAGGAUAUUUUUAGUAACAAGCUUGGGUAGUUACUUGUUCCCGUUCCCAACUUGAAAGUACGGGGUGUUUAAAGAAGAAAGAAAAACAGCCCCUUGGCAGUGUUGCCGCCUCCUUGUGAGAGCCUCCCAGCGAACACUCAACAGAAUAUUAUUCCUAUCAGUCAGGGAUCCUUUGAAGAGGUAGCCAGGGUUGGCUUUCUGUGUGNACCAGCCGGAAACCUCCCUUGCAGAUCCGUCAGCCUGUGAAGGUGAGCNGAGCCUCCAGCUCUCUGUCAAGGGCCCCACGGUGCCCUGCUAGACGGGGCCAAGGGCCCUCCUGGUCUCCUAGCACCCAGACAAAGGCUCAUGGGAAGCCAGGCAGAAGAGCUGCAGCGGCACUCUCUUUGUCUGCACGCCUCCCAGCAGCGGGUCCCCAGCGUCCGUCUCUGUUCUCACGACCAGUCCUCUUUAGAGACACGUAGGUUGAGGUCCUCGCAUCUCGUGGCAGUGGGUUUUGUGUCUUGCUCUGUGUUGUGAAGAAAGCGGAACC